UUUACACUAAGGUAUAAUGCAAUGCCCAAGCUUUUCAUAGAAUCAGGUACUUGGUCGUAGACGUAUUCUUGCAAUCCCACUAAGGCAAAUCCAUCUGCUAUUCCUAGGAUAAGGAACUUGAGCCUUCGAGUGGAUUUUUGUGAACAAGAUUCAGUCUCUUUCUCUCAAUCAAAGCUGCAACGAUCAUGAUAGAAACGGAGAAGAUCAUUCCAAUACCGAUCCUUUGGAGGAUACUAAUCCCUCUUUCAUUUCCUGUUGUCCAUCUCAGGAAAGGUACAAGGAUUUUGUCAUAGAAAGCAACAGAUAUUAUCAUGCCAACAGCUGUCAGGGCAUAAAUUGAGGCUGAGGGAAUCUCGAAAUUGUGAAUGAUCUUCCGGUUCAUUGUCACGCCUUGUUUUAAGAAAAAAGUUGCAGCUUGUGCUACGCAUAUACCAAACGGUAAAGUGGUUAGCCAAAUAGGUAUCAUGUUGAUAAUUAGCUUCAGUUCUUCCACAUUGGUGACAGUUGCAAGUUUCCACGGAU
Molecule: long non-coding RNA, 522 nt
Organism: Solanum stenotomum
Lineage: Eukaryota; Viridiplantae; Streptophyta; Magnoliopsida; Solanales; Solanaceae
Exons: 2
Source: RefSeq, a predicted model, not a curated record